GGUUCGAUUCCGGCUCGAAGGACUU
This 25-nucleotide non-coding RNA is filed under the name Cricetulus griseus (Chinese hamster). Lineage: Eukaryota; Metazoa; Chordata; Mammalia; Rodentia; Cricetidae. The record is from RNAcentral.